Molecule: non-coding RNA, 408 nt
Organism: Camelina sativa (false flax)
Lineage: Eukaryota; Viridiplantae; Streptophyta; Magnoliopsida; Brassicales; Brassicaceae
Source: RefSeq, a predicted model, not a curated record
CAAAAACACAAUAGCUGAAACCAAUUCGUGCCGUGGGAGAGUUUCAAUUCGUGCCGUGGGAGAAACUAAGAAAGUUACUACUAGGCUUCCUCUGUUGUUUUUCUCUGGACAAUUGGAAUGUCUACAGGUUUUAUCUUCUUCUCUCCUCAUCAUCAUCAGAGACGCCUAACAACUGUUCGAUAGAAUUCCUCAUAGAGAGAAAAAUAAAAAAUGUACGUGGUGAAACGUGACGGGAAGAAGGAAACUGUUCGCUGUCUCUAGUCUCCACAAGAACACUAAGAACUCAUUUUCUGAAACGUGAGUGUUCUUUUUUUUUUUUGUGCACCCAAACUCUUCAUUCAAACUUAACAAGAUACAAAGGGAUGGAGCAUAUUCGAACAUACCCGAAUAGCAAACUUUGAAGUUAAA